AUGAUUUUUAAGGCCCUCACUGUAUUAAAAGUUAUCUUUAAAAGAGGACCGUUCAUUUCAGGAAAAACCUUUCCAACUCCAAAAAAGCAGAAGGGCUUUUCUUUCUGGUGCCCUGUGAGCUUCAUCUCCACAUCGCUUCUCCCCUUUCUGCUCCCUCACCUCCUCCCAGCCUCACUUCUAACACACCUAGGGAGACAUAGCAGAGACUAUUUUUUUUUUUCACCCGUACUGUUUCCCUCACCUCCCCGAGCAGCUCUUGCUCUGUUUCUCCUCUCCCAGCUGCACCACAGGUGCCCACCCAGGGCAGGCUCAGCACAGCAACAGCAGCCAGCCUCCCCUGCCUCCUUAAAUUGCUCUGCCGCACCAGAGCCCCGAUCGCAGCCCCCCUGCUCCCCCCCCCCCGGGCUGCCUCCUGGCCACAGCUUCCUCCCGUUAAACCAUCAGCCUUGCCAGACCUUACCCACCGGGUGCCGGAGCUGUGCAGACAGCCACCUGCCAAAUAUUUGGAGAUCGAUGCUGUGUUUAAACAAGCACACAAAAUUGCUGAAGAAUUCUCACAGGUGUAGAUGGGCRCUGAUUUCUUUCCUUUGGGUUUUAGCAGCCCUUGAGCUAUUCCUUCAGAAAAGAAAGGCUUUAAACCAAAUGGAGUUUUCUACCAAAAAUGUUUUGCUUCACUGUUUAAAAAUAUCGGCCGUGCUUCUGCUGGGCGCGUGUUUCGCAGCUCGCCUGGCAAACGCCGGGCUCGUAUCCGACCCCUCCCGGCAGGCGACCCUCAGCAGCUCCGAGGACCCUCUGCCGUGGCGGGGYGUCAGCGACAGUAACGGUGUUUUGCAGGCGCAGAAAGAGCCGGCCAGGCCGGGAGCCGGAGCGCACAGACCCAGCGGGGAGCACCUGGCUCCCUCCGGCGUGCACCGAGGCCGGGCCGGCGGCCGGCGCUGCCUCCCGGGGUGCCCCGGCCCCUCGGAGCGCUCGGAGGUGGGAGGCACAGUCAGAGACGGGGAGAGAGAGGAGGAAAACGCUUUGGGAUGCUGGGCACAUUCACAUGUAAGUAUGUUAACGCUUUUGAAGAAAUUACCAUGCCCGGGGUUGAGUCAAGCUUCAGAGCUCUCCUUAAGAGUUUGCCUUUCCAGAUGCUUUCAUGCCGGGAAAGGAAAGAAAUGUCCCCAAAGAGCGAGGAGAAGGCUGGAAAGGUCAGCCGCUGAGGCAGCCAGCCUCGAUGCGAUCCCCUCCAUCAAGUGCAGAGUGUCUAACGGCAAAGAAAGCUGCGAAAAGCAGUCAGAUGUCCUAAGGGCAAAGACCAUUUCAUCUGCMACGUCCGCCCCGGCACCACUGGAAGGUGGGAAGUGGCUCCAGAGAGAGCUCGGCCCUGGCGCGCGGGGCAGCCAGCACCUCUCCGCUCUCCCCUCCUCUCCCGUCCCGGGAGAUGGGCCCGGGGGUUCCCAGGCUGGGGGGAACCUGCUGGUUCAGAUCCUGGCCCCGAUAGGUUUAGUUAAAUAUUGCGUUUCAGGCUCAAAUGCAUAA
This 1521-nucleotide long non-coding RNA is filed under the name Apteryx haastii (Great spotted kiwi). RNAcentral describes it as "lncRNA (ENSAHAG00000014701.1)". Lineage: Eukaryota; Metazoa; Chordata; Aves; Apterygiformes; Apterygidae. The record is from RNAcentral.